GGGCGGAUUUGCAUAUUUGUCACCCCCGCGCUGAUUGGCCGCGCGGCCGGGGCCGCUGACGGGGCGAUUCUGCGGGGACGGGCGGGCGGCCCGAGCCGUGCCGCGCCAGGGACGAGGAUGGAGCGAGGCGGACCCGCGCCCGAGCGACCCCGGGUCAGAGCCGCACGUGCGGAGGCGGCCGCUCCUCCCCUGGGCCAGCCUCGGCCCGUCGCAGAGCGGAGAGAUCGUGGCCGCGGUGGCGGGAAGGAAGCAGCUCUUAUGUGCCCUGUUUGCUGGAAACCAGCGUUGGAGGACUGUUGGAUGAGGCCUUAAGGGCCAGUGCUCCUGCCGGCCGCACCCUGCCUUGGCCCUCGCGCUAGCGUGGGGUGGCACCUGCCGUGGUGCUGAAGGCCGCCUUAUCUACAAAUAUAAGCUGAACAGAAAUCCUACAGUUGUUCAAAGAUGCUAAAGUCUGGAUGAACCAGACACCUCUAGAAGAUCCCGGAGGGGCAAGGGGAGAAAUGAUAGCUCCUGGAAGAGCUGGAAACGUGGCAGAUGGUAGAGUUUGUGCUGGACGGUCAGGACCAGAGAAAACUGAAGCUAGAAAAAAACAGAGGAUGGACUGACUGACUGUCUUAUGCUACAGAGCUAGAAACUUUGCGGACAAAAGAGUGCAAGCAGCAACUUUGGCUGCUUCUAGGCCACAAGGCUGAGAUGAGGGUUCAGUGGAGGGUCUUGCGGACUUCUCCAACUGCAGAGCUAGGACAAGAGGGGAGUGGAAAGUGGACUCCUGCACAGAGAGCUGAGGAGAUGCUAGGUGAGGCUGGGGUAGUUGGUUGACACAAGAUCCUGGAGCAGAAGAGACCAACCCUAUAUCCCAUGGACUGUGUGUUGUGGUGAUGAAACUCCCAAAACAAGAAAUAAGGGCACAAUUUAAACUCUUCUGCAAUAAUGGGUAGGCAAAAUACAGCCCAUGGCCCAGAUCCAGCCCACAGAGGGACUCCAGCCUCAGCCUCGUGGAAACUGGCUGGGACCUGCAAGUACGGCCGUGGCCUGGCCUGCCCUGUGCCUACACUGAGCCCACCCCUGCUGGAGUAGACCAGCCAGGACAUGCAUGCACUGACACAACCCUGGCCUGUGGGCCCAUCUGCCUACAGUUGAGUGGCAGCAGCCAGGUGAAGCUGCUGCUGGGCACAAGGGAGAAGUGACCUCACCCCAUCGCUGCUGCCGGCCCCUUCUUGCUGCGGGUGCCCAGCAGGGCAGCAGUAGCAGUGGAGAGGACCCACAGGGCAGCCUGGCGAGGUUUCUGGCAGCAGCAAGGGGGGGGGCACUUUUCUCCCACACCCAGCAGCAGCUUGUGCCUGGCUGGCACUGCUGCUCAGCAUGUUUGAAGUUGUGCACGUGGGUCCUGGCUGGUCUGGAGCUGGACUCCUCUGGCUAGGGUAAGUCCUGGGUGGGUUGGGGCAGGCUGCUGCUGGCCACUGGUGGCUGUGAGGAGCCGCAGGGUGGACUCCACGGUUUUGUGAGGAGUGGUGCAGACUAGCCCACGACAGCUCCUGAAACUGCCCAGGUGGCUCGCAGGCCCAAGUAAUUGCCCACCCCAUGCUAUAACAAUUCUCUUGCCUCAGGUGCCUUCCAUUGUGAGCCUUUUUAUCAUUACAACCUCUAUCAAACUUAUGUACACUUCAAAAUUAUAAGGUGCUACAUAGUAGAAUACAAUACAAGGUCUUAGAAUUUCUCAUAAGGUACUACCAACUAAAUGUGUUUGGAUACCUCUUAGCAACCCUCACUCCAGCCCCAUCUCGGUUAGUCCAAAAAGAUGCUACUAGUGUUUGAAAAAUUUCAAGCUUAUUAAUUUUCCUCCAGUGAUGGUGACUUGCAAGCACUCAUUUUCUAAAAGGUUUUAGGAAGCAUAUAUACCUAAUGUUUUAGCUGACAUUAGUCACCCUAUUGUCUUAUUUCCUUAAUGUGACUGUCAGUAGUAUUCUACUUUUGACAAAUAUUCUCAGAACUGCAAAUAGGGUGAAUGGUAGAGCCUGAUGCUACCCUAAAAUGGCAAAGAACAUGAGUCACAGAUGCAACUGAAAAAUGGGAACAAGAAAUGGUUUUAUUGGUCCACAGGACACAAGUUGUCUGCUGUUGCCUCCUUGUCUUUUCACAAAAGUUACACAUACAUGUACUUGAAUAAAAUCUACAGAUUUA
Long non-coding RNA from Alligator mississippiensis (American alligator), 2181 nucleotides. RefSeq lists it as uncharacterized. NCBI's taxonomy places the organism in Eukaryota, Metazoa, Chordata, Crocodylia, Alligatoridae. The transcript has 2 exons. The record is from RefSeq and is a predicted model, not a curated record.